Long non-coding RNA from Homo sapiens (human), 3262 nucleotides. Lineage: Eukaryota; Metazoa; Chordata; Mammalia; Primates; Hominidae. The record is from Ensembl.
AUUAGUGAGCAGGAGCAGCCAGCUCAGCCUUCUGAGUCUUCUGGGGAGGUUGAAUCUUCUCAGACUCGGCAGGAGACCCCAGCUCAGCCUCCAGAAGAGAUGGAACCUCCUGCAAACCAAGAGGAGGCCCCAACUGAGCCUCCAGGUCCUCCUGUAGAGCCUGAACUUUCCCCCAGUGAGCAGGAGCAGCCAGCUCAGCCUUCUGGGGAGGUUGAAUCUUCUCCAGCCCAGCAGGAGACCCCAGCUCAGCCUCCAGAACAUCAUGAAGUCACCGUUUCACCUCCAGGUCACCAUCAAACUCAGCAUUCAGAUUUGCCCAAUGUCUCUGUUAAGCCUCCAGACAUGCAGCUCACCAUAGCAACAGAGCCUAGUGCAGAGGUGGGAACUUCUCCAGUCCACCAGGAGGCUACAGCUCAGCUCUCAGGACCAGGUAAUGAUGUAGAACCUCCCACUAUCCAGCACGGGGGCCCACCUCUUCCUCCAGAGUCACCGGAAGAUGCUGGACCUUUAGCAAUUCAACAGGAGACUUCAGUUCAAUCUCCGGAACCUAUUAAUAAUGAGAACCCCUCUCCAACCCAGCAGGAAGCUGCAGCUGAGCAUCCACAGACUGCUGAGAAGGGUAAGUCUUCUCUAACCCAGCAGGAGGCCCCAGCUGAGACUCCAGAGCUCCCUAAUGUAGUUGUAGCUCAAUCUCCGGAACAUUCAAACCUGACUCAAGCCACAGUUCAACCUUUGGACCUGGGGCUUACCAUCACUCCAGAAUCCACAACAGAAGUUGAACUUUCUCCAACCAUGCAGGAGACCCCAACUCAUCCUCCUAAGAAAGUUGUACCCCAACUUCCAGUAUAUCAAGAGGUUACAAUUCCAACACCAGGUCAGGAUCAGGCUCAGCAUCCAAUGUCACCCAGCAUUACAGUUCAACCUUUGGACCUGGGACUUACCAUCACUCCAGAACCCACUACGGAGGUUGGACAUUCUACACCCCUGAAGAAGAAUGUAGUUCCUCCAAAGCACCCUAAGGUGACACUUCCACAUCCAGACCAGGUUCAGACUCAGCAUUCAAACCUGACUCAAGCCACAGUUCAACCUUUGGAUUUGGGGCUUACCACCACUCCAGAAUCCACAACAGAGAUUGAACCUUCUGCAGCCCUGACGACUACAGCUCCUCCUCCAGAACACCCUGAGGUGACACUUCCACCUUCAGACAAGGGUCGGGCUCAGCAUUCAAACCUGACUCAAGUCACACUUCCACCUCUGGACCUGGAGCUUACCAUAACUACAGAACCUACUACAGAGGUUAAACCGUCUCCAACCACGGAGGAGACCUCAACUCAGCCUCCAGACCUGGGGCUUGCCAUAACUCCAGAGCCCACUACAGAGACUGGACAUUCUACAGCCCUGGAGAAGACUACAGCUCCUCAUCCAGACCAGGUUCAGACUCUGCAUCGAAAACUGACUGAAGUCACAGGUCCACCUACUGAACUAGAACCUACUCAGGAUUCACUGGUGCAGUCUGAAAGUUACGCCCAAAAUAAGGCUUUAACCGCACCAGAGGAACAGUAGGCCUCCACAAGCACCAACAUAUGUGAGCUCUGUACCUGCGGAGGUGAGACGCUGUCGUGUAUUGAUCUCAGCCCAAAACAGAGGCUCUGCCAAGUGCCUGUGCCAGAGCCCAACACCUACCAUGGCACCUUCACCAUCUUAAAUUUCCAAGGAAACUAUAUUUCUUACAUUGAUGGAAAUGUAUGGAAAGCAUACAGUUGGACCGGGAAACUAAUUCUCAAUGAAAAUUAUUUGACUGAAUUACAUAACGAUUCAUUUAAAGGCCUGCUAUCCCUCCAGUAUUUAGAUUUAUCCUGCAAUAAAAUACAGUCUAUCGAAAGACAUACAUUUGAACCACUACCAUUUUUGCAGUUUAUAAAUCUUGGUUGCAAUUUACUCACAGAACUGAGCUUUGGAACAUUUCAGGCCUGGCAUGGAAUGCAGUUUUUACACAAGUUAAUUCUCAAUCGCAAUCCUCUGACAACUGUUGAAGAUCCAUAUCUCUUUAAAUUGUCAGCAUUUAAAUAUCUAGACACGGGAACAAUGCAAGUCCCACUUACAACAAUUGAGAACAUUCUCGUGAUGACUGUUGAACUGGAGAAACUGAUCUUACCUAGCCAUAUGACCUGCUGCCUCUGCCAAUUUAAAAAUAGCACUGAGGCUGUCUGCAAGACAGUCAAGCUGCAUUGCAGCAGUGCAUUUCUGACAAACACCAUACAUUGUCUGAAGAAGCAUCUGUAGAGAAUCCAGGAGUGUUCAUGAAGGUGUUACAAGCCCAGAAGAAGCACACGAGCACUGAGCUGACUAUUGAGCCGGAGGCAGCCUCAGACAGCAAUGGCAUCAAUUUGUCAGGCUUUGGGAGUGGGCAGCUAGACACCAAUGAUGAGAGGGAUGUUAUCAGUGCACUAAGUUACAUCUUGCUUUAUUUCUCAGCGGUAAAUCUAGAUGUGAAAUCAAUGUUGUUACCCUUCAUUAAUCUGCUUUCUUCAAAUGUGCAAGAUGGAGAUAGGCUCCUGGGUAUUUUGAAUAACAAUACAAAGAGCCCCUCUCUUCAACCUGCAUCCAACAACUCAACUUAUGAAAAUAAAUUGAGAAAGCUGUAUUUGCUGGAAAGUAUGUUAGAUGCAGAAAUACAAGAAAAAAUUGAUGAAGUUAAAAGGGAAGAAAAAACUGCCAUGCUUAUGCAGUCCAGCCUUCUAGGUAACAAAUUUAAAUGCCAAAUAUUUGAAAAGAAAUUAGAAACUAUCUAACCACAGGAAAGCAGCCUGGCAAAGAUUCAAAGUGUAGGCAAAAACCUGCAGAGAGUGAACAGAGUCCUCAUGGGCCCAAGGAGCAUCUUGAAAAGGCACUUCAAAGAGGUGGAAAGCAGAGGAUCAGGAGGGAACAGGGUGCCCAGGCAUUUGCAGAGAACGCUGCCAAAGAAAAAAGGCUCGGGAGUCCAGCCCCAAGGGAGCUGAGACAGCCUCACAUAGAGCAGGGGCCUGACAAGUUAGUGGGAAACACCAUCUACACCAAGCCUUCAUUCAUCCAAGAGCAUAAGGCCGCAGUCUCCUCUGUGCUGAAACCCUUCUCCAUGGGUGUGCCUUCUGCCUCCACCCCUGCAAAAGCCCUACCUCAGGUCAGAGACAGAGCAAAAGACUUAACCUACACCAUUUUCAUUUUAGAAAAUGCAAAGGCUAGAGUUAAAAAUAUGAAGGCUGCUAAACCAAUCGUACAUUCC